AGGACGAACGCUGGCGGCGCGCUUAACACAUGCAAGUCACGGGGGCCCGCAAGGGUAACCGGCGAACGGGUGCGUAACACGUGAGCAACCUGCCUAGAUGUGGGGGAUAGCCGGCCCAACGGCCGGGUAAUACCGCAUACGGUCACGAGGAGGAGUCUCCUUGUGAAGAAACCUCCGGGGCAUUUAGAGGGGCUCGCGGCCUAUCAGCUAGUUGGCGGGGUAAUGGCCCACCAAGGCUUCGACGGGUAGCUGGUCUGAGAGGAUGGACAGCCACAUUGGGACUGAGAGACGGCCCAGACUCCUACGGGAGGCAGCAGUGGGAAUCUUGCGCAAUGGCCGAAAGGCUGACGCAGCGACGCCGCGUGUGGGAGGACGCCCUUCGGGGUGUAAACCACUGUUGCCCGGGACGAACAUCCACUUUCGAGUGGACUGACGGUACCGGUGAGGAAGCACCGGCUAACUCCGCGCCAGCAGCCGC
Molecule: ribosomal RNA, 478 nt
Filed under: uncultured bacterium
Lineage: Bacteria
Description: SSU rRNA
Rfam family: Bacterial small subunit ribosomal RNA
Source: RNAcentral